UAUAUUUAUAAUCAUCCCCUGAAACAUUAAAUAGCUGUUAGUAAUGUUCGUUUGUUUUUGUGAUCAAUUUUGCUGGUGAUGUUAUUAUUCCUUCUAGAAAGCCUAUCACGUGUAAAUUAAAGUUUUCCUUUUGAUUCUUAUCUUAGAAUUAGAUAGAAAGGUACAUGUUAGAACUCGGUGGGAAACAAGGAAAACGGUUGUUCUUUUGGAGUUAAUGCCUCUGCAAAGUUGUGGUGACACUGCAUAAUUGAAAUCUGGGGAGGUUUGCAGAAUACGUAAGUUAACUAGCUCCGUUCGGGUUUAGGCAGACCUUUUGUAUAUGUUUUAUGUGGUGGGACGUCUUUUAAUUUUAUAGACCACCAAAGGCAGUUGCAUUUGUUUAAAGUUGGAAAGGUUAUCUACAACUAGAAUCUUCCAACCUGUAAAACUACAUCUCUUCCGGCUUCAGCUAACUCUGAUUUUAUGUGAUUAACCACGUACAGCUUAAUGUAAAGUUUAUCAUCUAGGUGCUCCAUAUGAUUGACAAGGUGCCUAACAAAGGGAAGAUUGAUAAAUAAACCUGUUAAUAACAUGUAUACUCGCCUGGAUAUCCUCUUGAAUCCAGUCAGGCAGAUUUUGGCAAACAACUCUACAAAAUUUAGAGCAUCACAGGUUUCCCAUUUGACAUUGCUAAUGGGGUAUCAAUUUUCUGGAAAGGGUAUCAAUCUCAUAUAAGGCGAACCAGAAAUGCUUUGUUUUAUAUGGAUUUGGUACACGUAAACCAGUAACCCCAUCAGCAGUCAUGUCCAAGUUCCCACGUCUUACUCAAACUGUUUCAGUGUUUCACUUGACCUUUCAUCUAACUCGUCGACCACACAACAAAUGAACAAACCGUGUUGCCCGUUGACUCUCUCUUACUUUUUCCUCCUCCCUUAUAAAUACUCUUUCUCUCCAUCUUAUUUCCAAUUCGUCUUCUGCACUCCCCAACAUCCGUCUCUCUUCCAUUUCUUCUUCGUCCAUCUAAAAAUGUCUGGAAUCCAAAUGAAAACCUCAUUUCAAUUUUCUCCAGAGUGUUACUUAUCAAACAAAUCCCCUAAUCACAACAAGUCCCAGAAUUCAAUGUCUUUUCCAACUAGAAACUCUUCAAAGAAAUUCACAAUUAAAUCUUCUGUUUCCUCAGAAACUCUUCCAAGAACCAACAGAAGGCCAUCGCCGGCGCCGUCGAGUCUGUAUGAGAUUCUUAGAGUGAAAGAAAACGCAUCAGCACUUGAAAUUAAGACAGCUUACCGAAACUUAGCAAAGAGAGUUCAUCCAGAUGUAGCUACUUCUGAAUCUGAUAGCCGUGAUUUCAUGGAAAUUCACAAAGCUUAUACAACUCUAUAUGAUCCUACAGCGAGAGCUAAUUAUGAUCUCUCCAUUGCCCGCACCUCCGCUCGAUAUGGAUCGUCCGGUUACAGUACCGGAUUGGGAAGUCGAUCGGAUUUUGCAGUUGUUGGUCAGAUGAGAAGGUGGGAAACAGAUCAAUGCUGGUAAUCGUCUCUCAUUGACUCUGAGGCGCCACCUACUUGCCAAAUUGAGCAAACCUCGAUUUUCCUAAAACUGAUCCAUGGAAUUCAAUCCCAUUUUACCUCAUUGGGUUUCAGUUCAGAUUGAAUUGAACUAAGGGGAUGCAUCUAAGAACAUUCUUGUGACUACUUCAAUUGAAUUAAAUGUCCUAUUCAUGCAUCUCCUCUAAGGAUGACUUUAAGAUCAAUUGGCUCGUGCGUAGAAAGCUGAUUCCACGUUUGGCCACAGCUUACAUGUAAUGGAAGAUUUUCCGAUCACCAUAUUAGAGGUUCGGUGCAACUCACAAAGUCCGAUUUCUAGUGCUCUAUCCUGAAUUUUAAGGCAAGUUGAACUCAAUCAUCAUUUACAGAGCAACUUCAGGAGCUUAAUAGCUAUGUUGUUAGAUAAACUGACAUGUUGCUCAAAUAUUGAGAGGCUUGUCUGUCGCGAUCAAUAAAAUGCCCAAAGUACCGUUCUGGCAAACUGUAGACCAGAAGUUAAUCAAUCAAUAACUUUCCGUUCUACCUUAUUCUUAUUAAGCAAGUAGGCCUCAAGAAUCGAUAGGAAGGUUGAUUGGUGAAACUAGUGUAACUUCCAUUUGCUUUGUGCAAGAAUAUAUGUAACUGUAAAAUUGUAUCCUCAUUCAAAUACAUAUGCUUUAUGGGAUUUUCUUACUACAA
Long non-coding RNA from Papaver somniferum (opium poppy), 2204 nucleotides. RefSeq lists it as uncharacterized. The record is from RefSeq and is a predicted model, not a curated record. The transcript has 2 exons. NCBI's taxonomy places the organism in Eukaryota, Viridiplantae, Streptophyta, Magnoliopsida, Ranunculales, Papaveraceae.